ACUGAGCACUGAAGCUCAGGCCUGUAGCCUCAGCUACUUGGAAGGCGAAGGCAGGAGGAUUGCUUGAGUCCAGUUGUGGGCUGUAAUGCACCAGGCUGAACAGGUAUUUGCACUAAUUUUGGCAUCAAUAUGGUGACCUCUCAUGAGCAGGGGACAAUCAGGUUGCCUAAGGAGUAAUGAACUAGCCCAGAUCAGAAAUGUAGCAGUCAAAACUCCUGUGCUGAUUAGCAGUGGGACUGAGUCUGUGGGUAAUCACGGCACUCCAGCUAGGGCAACAGAGACCCUUUUUUU
Molecule: signal recognition particle RNA, 291 nt
Filed under: Aotus nancymaae (Ma's night monkey)
Lineage: Eukaryota; Metazoa; Chordata; Mammalia; Primates; Aotidae
Description: Metazoan signal recognition particle RNA (ENSANAG00000003242.1)
Rfam family: Metazoan signal recognition particle RNA
About the family: The signal recognition particle (SRP) is a universally conserved ribonucleoprotein. It is involved in the co-translational targeting of proteins to membranes. The eukaryotic SRP consists of a 300-nucleotide 7S RNA and six proteins: SRPs 72, 68, 54, 19, 14, and 9.
Source: RNAcentral